RNAcentral lists this long non-coding RNA (1425 nucleotides) under Homo sapiens (human). RNAcentral describes it as "testis expressed 41". The record is from RNAcentral. Lineage: Eukaryota; Metazoa; Chordata; Mammalia; Primates; Hominidae.
GAGGCUUUAGGCAGCCCCAAGAAAAUAUCAAUUUCUAUGAUUUUUAUAAACUUACACUUUGGAAAGGUUGGCAAAUUGAUAGACAAUGAAUAAACGCAUUUAGAAUUCAAAGUUGACAUUCAUAUUAUGGCCUCAAUUUAGCUAGGAAGACCCUGGCCUCCAUCUUGAAAACGGAAAAUAAAAACAGCAGACCUAUGAAGGUCGAAGGGGAAGAAAAGCUGUAUCGAUUGUUGAGAUCUGGCGACUUGUUUAAAUUUCAUCAGCCUCACUUCUAUGAACUCUCAGAGCUGAUUACCAACUCCUACCACUGUUAACCCUCAUCCAGGAACAAGCUUAUGUCUUUAACAUUCUGAGUGGGCUUCAGCAUCCUUGCAUAUGUUCAAUUCUUAAAAACCUGUUGAAAUAAAAGAUCAGGAGACAUAGGAAGGAUGCCAGAAGAGAGCGUGGCCUCACGUGUACCAGCUCUCUGCUCUCCUUUGCCUUGGGACGUUCCAUCCCUGGAAGUUUCCCUGCCCACAUCUUUGUAGAGAGUCCAUUCUCCAAGCUUCAGUGUGUCAUCUGUGAGGACCGUGACCCACCUGGUACAUCGCCUCAGGGCAUUCAUUUCAGGCUCCUUCUAAAUGGCCAAGUUUUCAAGAUUGUUUUGGCUCUAGCAAAACAAGUUGGAACAUUCACAUCAUCCAAGCUGCAGCAAGCUGUUCGUCAGAGUCAUCUUUGGUGACUAUCUGCCUACAGGCAUUCCUUUGCACUCUGGGUGUAGCCCUCAGUGCUGGGCUUACAAAGAAGACGACACAAAAGCAACCAUGAAAAGAUCUUGGAAGCAGAGGGAUCUGCAGAAGUGCUUGCAACACUUUCAGCCUUAACCAGCAUCAGAGACAAAAAUCCUUUCUGGAAUGAGCCUCUCAGGAACCUCUAGUGUUUGUGAAGUUCCUCAGGAAAUCUGAGGACAAGUGAGUUUGGAAAUGACACUGAGGGAUGGGGAAACAGGACUGCUGAUGAAGCUGACCAUCCUCAAGCCAGCUGCCAUAUUGGGAGCCAUCCUUCAGAAAGGCCUACUUGGCCAGCAACUGAGGGAAGCUUCAAGCCAGUGGCCAAUGAGAAACUAAGGCCCUCAUGCCAACAGCUUGAGGAUAAUUGAAUCCUGCCAGCCACCAUAUGAGAGACUUAGAAGUGGAUCCUUCCCGGUAGCGCCUUCAGAAGACACUGCAACCUUGUGGGAAAUCUCAGGCAGAGACAUCCAUCUAAGCUGCACCUGGAUAUGCAUGUGACAGAAGAUAAUAUGACAAAUGUUGUUAAAGCCACUAAAAUUUUAGAGUUAUUUGUUGUGCAAUAAUAGAUAACUUAUACAGCUGUGGUGCCAGGAGUUGGGUUUGAAACCCCUGAAACUUUCUAUAUUUUCUACAUUAAGAAGUAAUAUCUCUUACA